CCUACGGGAGGCAGCAGUGAGGAAUAUUGGUCAAUGGACGAGAGUCUGAACCAGCCAAGUAGCGUGAAGGAUGACUGCCCUAUGGGUUGUAAACUUCUUUUAUAUGGGACUAAGAUGUUCCAUGUGUAGGCUUUUGUAUGUACCAUCUGAAUAAGGAUCGGCUAACUCCGUGCCCGCAGCCGCGGUAAUAAGGAGGAUCCGAGCGUUAUCCGGAUUUAUUGGGUUUAAAGGGAGCGUAGGUGGAUGGUUAAGUCAGUUGUGAAAGUUUGCGGCUCAACCGUAAAAUUGCAGUUGAAACUGGCAGUCUUGAGUACAGUAGAGGUGGGCGGAAUUCGUGGUGUAGCGGUGAAAUGCUUAGAUAUCACGAAGAACUCCGAGUGCGAAGGCAGCUCACUGGACUGCAACUGACACUGAGGCUCGAAAGUGUGGGUAUCAAACAGGAUUAGAUACCCUAGUAGUC
Molecule: ribosomal RNA, 460 nt
Filed under: uncultured bacterium
Lineage: Bacteria
Description: partial 16S ribosomal RNA
Rfam family: Bacterial small subunit ribosomal RNA
Source: RNAcentral